This 329-nucleotide unclassified non-coding RNA is filed under the name soil metagenome. Its description in RNAcentral is "partial contains 5.8S ribosomal RNA, internal transcribed spacer 2, and large subunit ribosomal RNA". The stretch from base 1 to 120 matches the Rfam family "5.8S ribosomal RNA", at positions 35 to 154 of the family's 154-position model. The record is from RNAcentral.
GAUGAAGAACGUAGCGAAAUGCGAUAAGUAAUGUGAAUUGCAGAAUUCAGUGAAUCAUCGAAUCUUUGAACGCACAUUGCGCCCCUUGGUAUUCCAAGGGGCAUGCCUGUUCGAGCGUCAUUAUAACCCCUCAAGCUCAGCUUGGUGUUGGGGCCUGCUGCACUGGCAGCCCUUAAAAUCAGUGGCGGCGCCAUCUGGCUCUAAGCGUAGUAAUUCUUCUCGCUAUGGAGUCCUGGUGGAUGCUUGCCAUCAACCCCCAAUUUUUCUAUGGUUGACCUCGGAUCAGGUAGGGAUACCCGCUGAACUUAAGCAUAUCAAUAAGCGGAGGA